This 451-nucleotide ribosomal RNA is filed under the name Granulicatella elegans. RNAcentral describes it as "bacterial SSU rRNA". It matches the Rfam family "Bacterial small subunit ribosomal RNA", at positions 28 to 468 of the family's 1533-position model. Lineage: Bacteria; Bacillati; Bacillota; Bacilli; Lactobacillales; Carnobacteriaceae. The record is from RNAcentral.
GACGAACGCGGCGGCGUGCCUAAUACAUGCAAGUCGAACGAGAGCGACCGGUGCUUGCACUGGUCAAUCUAGUGGCGAACGGGUGAGUAACACGUGGGUAACCUGCCCAUCAGAGGGGGAUAACAUUCGGAAACGGAUGCUAAAACCGCAUAGGUUCUUUAGUCGCAUGACUGAAGAAGGAAAAGAGGCUUAGGCUUCUGCUGAUGGAUGGACCCGCGGUGCAUUAGUUAGUUGGUGAGGUAACGGCUCACCAAGGCGAUGAUGCAUAGCCGACCUGAGAGGGUGAUCGGCCACAUUGGGACUGAGACACGGCCCAAACUCCUACGGGAGGCAGCAGUAGGGAAUCUUCCGCAAUGGACGCAAGUCUGACGGAGCAACGCCGCGUGAGUGAAGAAGGACUUCGAUUCGUAAAACUCUGUUGUAGAGAAGAACAGCGCAUAGAGUAACUGUU